CCCAAGAAGGGAUUAGGGCUCAGCCCUACCUGUGCUUGCUUAAUUGCCUCCCCAGGUGUUGGGAGUUGAAGUUUUGUUCAGGGAAGUGAGACCAGAGCACAGGUUGCCUUUCUUGGUUAGGGGUUAAGAGUUGGGGGAAGGAGCUGUGGAAAAGACAUAGAGAAAAGCUUAAUUAGGAAUAGAUUGAGCAAGGGGUUUGACUACAUGAGCCUUACUCUGCUGCUGAACUCAUGAACUAGGUUCCAGAACUGAAACAAGAUUAUUCCUCUACAGACUCACUGGAGAAGGGGAUGCAAAAGUUUUUAAGGUGCAAAGCUCUUGAGAAUUGAGUUGGACUGAAAACCCAGCCUUAGCUUGCCAUGUUGCUGCUUGUUUUGUUGGACUACUCAUUUACCCCUGGAAAAGAGAUUUCUAGAGGCCCUGCACCACCAGAACUGAAUAGUAGAGGGCAGGGGGAAACUGAAUUCAGAAUCGUGUGAACAUAAGAUAAAGACUGAUAAAAUGGAUGAAGUAAUGAACUAUGAAGGAGGCAGUUCAUUCUUACAGAACAAAAGCCAGAAGAUCUUGCAGAUGGAUGCUUCCCACUGGAAUAUAAUUUCUUCUAGUAUCAGUCCAUUAAUAAACAAUUUGACCAAUGGGACCAGUAAAUAUGAAUAUGGCAGGAUUGUAUUUCCAAGAACUAAAAAGAGUCCAUGAUGCU
Long non-coding RNA from Gavialis gangeticus (Gharial), 700 nucleotides. RefSeq lists it as uncharacterized. The record is from RefSeq and is a predicted model, not a curated record. NCBI's taxonomy places the organism in Eukaryota, Metazoa, Chordata, Crocodylia, Gavialidae. The transcript is spliced from 3 exons.